This 378-nucleotide unclassified non-coding RNA is filed under the name plant metagenome. Its description in RNAcentral is "partial contains 5.8S ribosomal RNA, internal transcribed spacer 2, and large subunit ribosomal RNA". The stretch from base 1 to 105 matches the Rfam family "5.8S ribosomal RNA", at positions 50 to 154 of the family's 154-position model. The record is from RNAcentral.
GAAAUGCGAUAAGUAAUGUGAAUUGCAGAAUUCAGUGAAUCAUCGAAUCUUUGAACGCACCUUGCGCUCCUUGGUAAUCCUUGGAGCAUGCCUGUUUGAGUAUCAUGAAAUCUUCAAAGUAAAUCUUUUGUUAACUCAAUUGGUUUCUACUUUGGUAUUGGAGGUCUUUGCAGCUUCACACCUGCUCCUCUUUGUUCAUUAGCUGGAUCUCAGUGUUAUGCUUGGUUCCACUCGGCGUGAUAAGUUAUCUAUCGCUGAGGACACUGUAAAAGGUGGCCAAGGUAAAUGCAGAUGAACCGCUUCUAAUAGUCCAUUGACUUGGACAAUACUUUUAUGAUCUGAUCUCAAAUCAGGUAGGACUACCCGCUGAACUUAAGC